CUUCUGUCACAAAAGGUCGCAUGAACAGAAAAUGUCAAAGAGUAAAUAAAUGCACAUAAGACUCUUUGUCGACAGCCUGCAAUUUAUUGUUUAUUAAAUAGCUAUUUUAAAAGUGAAUUAAAUACAUUGUAAGGAGGUAUGCAGCAUGUUGGAGGACCCGUUACAUUAUAAUAAUUAUAAAGCUAUACCUUCGUUUCGCAACCUCAUCAUGUAGUCACUAUAUGUUGAGGAAUAAUCAGCCAAAAGUCUACUCCUGGUUCUAGAUCCAAAAACUACAUCCCCAGUAAUCCAAGGAGCGAUGAAAGAACCAAUAAUGUGUGGUGAGACCUCUGCAAGAACCUGCGGUAUCAAUGCGAAUAAUUGUUCAUUCGAUGACAUCAUCGCGCCUGGUAUUUACUAGACCGUUUAGACUAGACCGAUAAUCAGCCGCCAUUUCCAUUGGCCAAGGCUAGCUUAAGAUCCAUAUCAGUGAAUAUUACCACUAUUAACCCACCAUGAGUUUAUAUCGAAGGUGACGAAAUCGAGGUGGUUGAUGAAACUGAUUUCCGCCAAAACCGAUACCAGCAGAAAAGCUCGGGGACAAAUUGUGGCAGUAAAUCUUACUUCUUUUGAGCUCGGCAAGACUCAUCGAUAAAUUGUUUCAGCUGUUAGGGGAAACCUGGACGCUGUCAGAAUUCCAGAAUCACCCGGUGAAAACGGUUCUAGAUACGACGGCUACAAGAAAACGAUAUGGACGAAGCGGAUCAAUCAGGUGGAAGGUUUUGGCGAUGGCAACGCGUACAUAUGAACCGAGUGGAAUGGAGACUCCGACCAUAGUUCUGUACUAAUAAACUAUUGAUUGAUGUAGUAUUGUUUGUCCUGUU
This is a long non-coding RNA of Armigeres subalbatus, 863 nucleotides long. RefSeq lists it as uncharacterized. The transcript is spliced from 2 exons. Lineage: Eukaryota; Metazoa; Arthropoda; Insecta; Diptera; Culicidae. The record is from RefSeq and is a predicted model, not a curated record.